This 406-nucleotide ribosomal RNA is filed under the name uncultured bacterium. RNAcentral's name for it is "partial 16S ribosomal RNA". It matches the Rfam family "Bacterial small subunit ribosomal RNA", at positions 30 to 526 of the family's 1533-position model. The record is from RNAcentral.
AUUGAACGCUGGCGGCAGGCCUAACACAUGCAAGUCGAACGAGUGGCGGACGGGUGAGUAAUGUCUGGGAAACUGCCUGAUGGAGGGGGAUAACUACUGGAAACGGUAGCUAAUACCGCAUACCAUCAGAUGUGCCCAGAUGGGAUUAGCUUGUUGGUUGGGUAACGGCUCACCAAGGCGACGAUCCCUAGCUGGUCUGAGAGGAUGACCAGCCACACUGGAACUGAGACACGGGCCAGACUCCUACGGGAGGCAGCAGUGGGGAAUAUUGGACAAUGGGCGAAAGCCUGAUACAGCCAUGCCGCGUGUAUGAAGAAGGCCUUCGGAUUGUAAAGCACUUUCAGUGGGGAGGCGUUACCAGCAGAAUAAGCACCGGCUAACUUCGUGCCAGCCGCCGCGGUAAUUC